RNAcentral lists this long non-coding RNA (335 nucleotides) under Rhinopithecus bieti (black snub-nosed monkey). RNAcentral's name for it is "lncRNA (ENSRBIG00000045215.1)". Lineage: Eukaryota; Metazoa; Chordata; Mammalia; Primates; Cercopithecidae. The record is from RNAcentral.
AUGAAUAUGUACUUGGUAUCUGGAUCUGCAUGUGUUUUUAACUGGGGCUUCUGGCAGAAAAGUUCACACCAGAGAACACCUGGAGAACAAUGAUUAUCACCCACAUCUCCGCUCUUAUUUGAUAUGGACUUUUGCUUUAAGGGGACUCCCCUCCAGAAAAGGUUUCUCUCUCAAGAAACAAAAACAAAACUUUGUUGAAGACUCUCCUGCAGGAAAUCUUUUAGACAUAGGUGUUUAAAUUCUAAGAUGAUCAAAUAUUGGGCCAUUUCCAUCAUGUCGUGUUUAACAGUUUUGAGUUAAAAUAGAAUUAUUGUGUAAUAAAACAUUCUCCUGGU